UACGUAGGUGGCAAGCGUUGUCCGGAUUUACUGGGCGUAAAGAGCGCGCAGGCGGUCGUUCAAGUCGCGUGUGAAAGCCCCCGGCUCAACUGGGGAGGGUCACGCGAUACUGAUCGACUCGAAGGCAGGAGAGGGAAGUGGAAUUCCCGGUGUAGUGGUGAAAUGCGUAGAUAUCGGGAGGAACACCAGUGGCGAAGGCGACUACCUGGCCUGUUUCUUGACGCUGAGGCGCGAAAGCUAGGGGAGCAAACGGGG
This 255-nucleotide ribosomal RNA is filed under the name uncultured bacterium. RNAcentral describes it as "partial 16S ribosomal RNA". It matches the Rfam family "Bacterial small subunit ribosomal RNA", at positions 524 to 777 of the family's 1533-position model. The record is from RNAcentral.